This 749-nucleotide non-coding RNA is filed under the name Orthomeria smaragdinum. Lineage: Eukaryota; Metazoa; Arthropoda; Insecta; Phasmatodea; Aschiphasmatidae. The record is from RNAcentral.
AAAUACUUUGAUUUUGGGUAUUUAAUUUACUUUUAGUAUAAUUUACAUGUAAAUUUUAAAAUUAAUUUUGUUUUUGCAGUAUUUAAUUUUAAAUUAUUAUUUUACUAUAGAUUUGGUUAUUCUUUUAAUAUUGUAUAAUAUUGUGCCAGCAUACGCGGUUAUACAUUAUAUGUAAGUUAAUUUUUUUUUUAUUAAAAGUUAAUUUUUUUUAUUAAUUUAUUUAUUUUAUUUUUAGGUGAAAUUUAAAUUAUUGUUAAUUUAAUUUUUUGAUUCUUUGAAAUCUUUAUUUUAGACUAGGAUUAGAUACCCUAUUAUUUUAGAUGUUAAUUUUUAUUAGGUUAUUAAUAGUUAUUUUCUUUAAAUCCAAUAAAUUUGGCGGUGUUUUAUUCCUAUUAGAGGAACUUGUUAUAUAAUCGAUAAUCCUCGUUUUAUCUUUCUUUAUUUAAUUAAUUUGUAUAUCUCCGUUAUAAGUUUAUUUUUUUAGAAUUUUAUAAUUUACUAUUAAUUUUAUUAUAUUUUAUUUCAGGUCAAGGUGCAGUUUAUAUUAAAGUAUUGAUUAGUUACACUUUAAUUUAGAUAAACUAUUUUUUUUAUUUAAUAAUUUUUAUAUAGGUGGAUUUAAUAGUAAUUUUGAUAAUAGAGUCUUUUUGAUUUUUGGUUUUAAAAUAAGUACAUAUUGCCCGUCACUCUCAAUUUAUUUGAGAUAAGUCGUAACAUAGUAGAUGUACUGGAAAGUGUAUCUUGUUUUU